CCAGGCCAAACGCCGAGUCCUGCCCCUGGUCUGACGUCCCCUCCGACACGCCGGGGCAGGAGCGGGGGACCCAACGUCCACCGGGCAACGCCGACAUUCGGCCGCGCCCUCGGGGUGAAGCGGCCGCAAGGCGGCCGGGCAGCGUGAACCCUGCCCGAACCCGACAGCUGACCUCGCAGGCGUCAGGGAAGGACGC
RNAcentral lists this small RNA (196 nucleotides) under Frankia sp. RNAcentral describes it as "c-di-AMP sequence". It matches the Rfam family "c-di-AMP riboswitch aptamer (ydaO/yuaA leader)". From Rfam's summary of the family: This family represents a conserved RNA structure found upstream of the ydaO and yuaA genes in Bacillus subtilis and related genes in other bacteria. The ydaO/yuaA element is thought to act as a genetic "off" switch for the ydaO and yuaA genes in its native state. It is believed that the element may be triggered during osmotic shock leading to activation of ydaO, a predicted amino acid transporter gene, and members of the yuaA-yubG operon which code for KtrA and KtrB K+ transporters. The record is from RNAcentral. Lineage: Bacteria; Bacillati; Actinomycetota; Actinomycetes; Frankiales; Frankiaceae.